CCUACGUGAGGCAGCAGUGAGGAAUAUUGGUCAAUGGGCGGUAGCCUGAACCAGCCAAGUAGCGUGAAGGGUGACUGCCCUAUGGGUUGUAAACUUCUUUUAUAUGGGAAUAAAGUGCAGUAUGUAUACUGCUUUGCAUGUACCUUAUGAAUAAGGACCGGCUAACUCCGUGCCAGCAGCCGCGGUAAUACGGAGGAUCCGAGCGUUCUCCGGAUUUAUUGGGUUUAAAGGGAGCGUAGGCGGGUUGUUAAGUCAGUUGUGAAAGUUUGCGGCUCAACCUUGAAAGUGCAGUUGAAACUGGCAGCCUUGAGUACGGGAGAGGUAGGCGGAAUUCGUGGUGUAGCGGUGAAAUGCUUAGAUAUCACGAAGAACUCCGAUUGCGAAGGCAGCCUGCUGGACUGUAACUGACGCUGAUGCUCGAAAGUGUGGGUAUCGAACAGGAUUAGAUACCCCUGUAGUC
Molecule: ribosomal RNA, 460 nt
Filed under: uncultured bacterium
Lineage: Bacteria
Description: partial 16S ribosomal RNA
Rfam family: Bacterial small subunit ribosomal RNA
Source: RNAcentral